This 600-nucleotide ribosomal RNA is filed under the name uncultured bacterium. RNAcentral's name for it is "bacterial SSU rRNA". It matches the Rfam family "Bacterial small subunit ribosomal RNA", at positions 92 to 690 of the family's 1533-position model. The record is from RNAcentral.
AGAGCGGCGUACGGGUGCNGAACACGCUGUGCACUGCCUUCUAUCUGCGCGGGAUAGCCUUUCGAAAGGAAGAUUAAUACCCCAUAAUAUGUUGAAUGGGAUCAUUCGACAUUGAAAACUCCGGUGGAUAGAGAUGGGCACGCGCAAGAUUAGAUAGUUGGUGAGGUAACGGGUCACAAGUCUACGAUCUUUAGGGGGCCUGAGAGGGUGAUCCCCCACACUGGUACUGAGACACGGACCAGACUCCUACGGGAGGCAGCAGUGAGGAAUAUUGGACAAUGGGUGAGAGCCUGAUCCAGCCAUCCCGCGUGAAGGACGACUGCCCUAUGGGUUGUAAACUUCUUUUGUAUAGGGAUAAACUUACCCUCGUGAGGGUAGCUGAAGGUACUAUACGAAUAAGCACCGGCUAACUCCGUGCCAGCAGCCGCGGUAAUACGGAGGGUGCAAGCGUUAUCCGGAUUUAUUGGGUUUAAAGGGUCCGUAGGCGGAUCUGUAAGUCAGUGGUGGAAAUCUCACAGUUUAAUUGUGAAAAUUGGCCAUUGAUACUGGAGGGUCUUGAGUGUGUGAAGUAUUGGAAUAAGUUAAUGUAGGUGAAAUGGC